This 194-nucleotide ribosomal RNA is filed under the name gamma proteobacterium P24. Its description in RNAcentral is "partial 16S ribosomal RNA". It matches the Rfam family "Bacterial small subunit ribosomal RNA", at positions 338 to 524 of the family's 1533-position model. Lineage: Bacteria; Pseudomonadati; Pseudomonadota; Gammaproteobacteria. The record is from RNAcentral.
CCUACGGGAGGCAGCAGUGGGGAAUAUUGCACAAUGGGCGCAAGCCUGAUGCAGCCAUGCCGCGUGUGUGAAGAAGGCCUUCGGGUUGUAAAGCACUUUCAGUCGUGAGGAAGGCGGCGUCGUUAAUAGCGGCGUUGUUUGACGUUAGCGACAGAAGAAGCACCGGCUAACUCCGUGCCAGCAGCCGCGGUAAU